RNAcentral lists this ribosomal RNA (182 nucleotides) under uncultured Allobrachymonas sp. RNAcentral describes it as "uncultured Brachymonas sp. partial 16S ribosomal RNA". It matches the Rfam family "Bacterial small subunit ribosomal RNA", at positions 1202 to 1382 of the family's 1533-position model. Lineage: Bacteria; Pseudomonadati; Pseudomonadota; Betaproteobacteria; Burkholderiales; Comamonadaceae. The record is from RNAcentral.
UUAUAGGUGGGGCUACACACGUCAUACAAUGGCCGGUACAGAGGGUAGCCAACCCGCGAGGGGGAGCCAAUCCCACAAAGCCGGUCGUAGUCCGGAUCGCAGUCUGCAACUCGACUGCGUGAAGUCGGAAUCGCUAGUAAUCGCGGAUCAGCAUGUCGCGGUGAAUACGUUCCCGGGUCCUU